AUGCGCGCCGGGCCGAGAGGGUGGAGGCUAAGCAACGGGGGAGUGCCCGUUCCCCCAUUGCCUGACGCCGUGGCGCCCCCCUACUUCGCCGCCGAGGUAGAGCUCGUGCGCGCCUCCCUCAUCGACGAGCAGCUCGCCCUCCCCCAGUAUGCCGCCAACAACCACGCGGUCUGGGCGGCGUACUUCGAGCGCCGUCAGGAGCAGAGGCUGGCGUCCACCAACGGGGCGCCGGUGGUGGGCGGCACGAAGAACAGCGAGGGGCGCCGCGUGUGGUGGGGCGUCCCCGGCCGCACGCUCGAGGGCGUGCUGGCGCACGUUGUGGGCGGCAACGACCCGUCGCUGGCAUACCCUCCCCCGGCGGCCGCCCCGGCCCACCGCCGACGCGUCGGGCAAUGGAUGCCCAGGAGGUUCGGAGCCUCCUCGCACUCCUCCUCACGGUAUUUUUCCCACUCCUCCGGCUCUCCUGCGCUGAUCGGCGUCAAGGCCGAGCCCGCGGCGAAGACGCCGCUCGGCCGGCGCACUUGCAGCGCCGGCAUCGUCAUCAACGAGGGCGGCCAACGCCUUCUCGACGGCUCCUCCGUGCUUCGUCAAGCCAAAAAGGGAGCCGGGGUUCGCGCCGGUGAAAACAGAGCCGGGGCUCCCCGCCGUGAAGACGGAGCACGGCGACAUGGAGCUCGACGACGAGGCGGCCCUGAAAUGGGCGCACAAGGACUUCCUGAAGAUGGGGAGGGAGCGCCAGUGCGCCGCACUGCGGCGCUCCGAGCAGCGCCGCCGGGGCCGCGACGAAGGCGGAGUCAUCGUCCUCGACGACAGCGACGACGACGACGCGCCGCUGCCGCCGCCACCAGUCCGCCAUGGUGA
RNAcentral lists this ribosomal RNA (861 nucleotides) under Triticum aestivum (bread wheat). Its description in RNAcentral is "partial small subunit ribosomal RNA". The record is from RNAcentral. Lineage: Eukaryota; Viridiplantae; Streptophyta; Magnoliopsida; Poales; Poaceae.